This 372-nucleotide ribosomal RNA is filed under the name uncultured organism. RNAcentral's name for it is "partial 16S ribosomal RNA". It matches the Rfam family "Bacterial small subunit ribosomal RNA", at positions 527 to 896 of the family's 1533-position model. The record is from RNAcentral.
GUAGGUGGCAAGCGUUGUCCGGAAUUAUUGGGCGUAAAGCGCGCGCAGGCGGUUCUUUAAGUCUGAUGUGAAAGCCCACGGCUCAACCGUGGAGGGUCAUUGGAAACUGGAGAACUUGAGUACAGAAGAGGAAGCGGAAUUCCACGUGUAGCGGUGAAAUGCGUAGAGAUGUGGAGGAACACCAGUGGCGAAGGCGGCUUUCUGGUCUGUAACUGACGCUGAGGCGCGAAAGCGUGGGGAGCAAACAGGGAUUAGAUACCCUGGUAGUCCACGCCGUAAACGAUGAGUGCUAAGUGUUAGGGGGUUUCCGCCCCCUUAGUGCUGCAGCUAACGCAUUAAGCACUCCGCCUGGGGAGUACGGCCGCAAGGCUG